UACGUAGGGGGCUAGCGUUGUCCGGAAUCAUUGGGCGUAAAGAGCGUGUAGGCGGCCCGGUAAGUCCGCUGUGAAAGCCGGGGGCUCAACCCUCGGAUGCCGGUGGAUACUGUCGGGCUCGAGUACGGAAGAGGCGAGUGGAAUUCCUGGUGUAGCGGUGAAAUGCGCAGAUAUCAGGAAGAACACCUAUGGCGAAGGCAGCACUCUGGGACGGUACUGACGCUGAGACGCGAAGGCGUGGGGAGCGAACAGG
RNAcentral lists this ribosomal RNA (253 nucleotides) under uncultured bacterium. RNAcentral describes it as "partial 16S ribosomal RNA". It matches the Rfam family "Bacterial small subunit ribosomal RNA", at positions 524 to 776 of the family's 1533-position model. The record is from RNAcentral.